RNAcentral lists this long non-coding RNA (619 nucleotides) under Ananas comosus (pineapple). RNAcentral describes it as "long non-coding RNA (ACOM_LNC013383)". Lineage: Eukaryota; Viridiplantae; Streptophyta; Magnoliopsida; Poales; Bromeliaceae. The record is from RNAcentral.
UUCUUAAUUUGAAACCAAAAUAUCAUUUUUUUUUUUUUGAGAAAUAGAUAGCAAGAUACCCGCUUCAUUCAAUAGGAUGAUGAACUAAGCUUACAGAAUGGAAGCAGCCAGGGCUUCCGAAGGGGAAAGAGUAAAACAAAGUAAACAAGAGAAAGGAAAGUAAACAGAAAAAAAGAAAAAAGAAAGAAAGAAAAAAACAACGGAAGUCAGGAGUCAGGGGCGUUCCAGUCAGCCAAAAGUUGCGAAAUUCGAUCCAAACAUCGGGUAGGAUUGGGGAGGGUCUCGCGAAAUAAGAAGCCAAUCCUCUCCGACCAAAUUACCCACCAGAUAGCUGAAAGGAGAGACAGAGAAGAAAGUCUCUUUUUGGUGUCAGAUAUGUCCAUCAAGUUUGACCAGAGAGCUCAAAGAUCAACCGAGAACUCGGUGAGGGACUCCAACCCGAUUACACUAUGAAGAAGGAAGCGAACGAAUACACAUGAAGCCAUUAGGUGGUCGCAGCUUUCCAAAUGAUGGCCACAGAAGACACAAGAUUGUGUCGGUAACCACCCAUGAUUGUGUAGUCUGUCAGCUGUGGGGAUUCUCUUCCGCAGGAGCAACCAUAGGAAGACUUUGAUCUUGA